UUCGCUGACUAAGCCCAGCCCGUGUCUUAUCGCCCAUCUAUUCAUUUCUCUUCGUGUCUUAUUGGUGGCGGCUGAGAUUCGGGAGAGGCCGCUGCGGGAGAUCGGCGACGGCGGCGUCUACCUGUGCGGGAUUUCGGCGGCGGCGGCAUUUAGAAGAUGUUGUGUCCAGAUUGCCAUUCAUUCUGUCAGAAUGACGAUGAGCAGAACUUUGGCAUUUUCAUUCACGAUGGGUCUCGAGAUUUUGCGAACAUCCCAUGCACCGCAAGGAACCGGUUCAACCAGAUGAGUGGUCUGAAGUUUAAAGCACAUGGCCGUAGAUACGUUGUUGAUGUGUUCAUUGGACACGAACCAACAUUGAUUGGAGGUGAUGACUGGGCGAAGUUCAAACGCGACUUCAACGUGUGCCAGGGCAAAAAAAGUGGUGUUCGACAUGUCGGGAUGGGUACCCGAGGCUUAUGUGUGUUCUGUUGGAAGUAGCCAUGCAAGUGAUCAUAGGGGUGUAGCACAGGACAUGACAGGAGGUGAUGUUGCACAAAGGGGGGGGGGGGGGGGGGAAGCUAGCAAGUUUGAUGCACUUGGAGUGGAAGAAGUCAUUUAUACCAGAGAUGUUGUUCUCAGCGAUGGUGAAGCACAAAUGUUGGGACUGGUAAGAACCAUUGAAGAUGGAUACAUUGGACCACAUUUUGUGCACCGCCUCACGCCCAAGAACAUCACAAGCAAGCUUAUGAAAAUCCCAAAGAAAAUUGUUCAACCAUUGAACUUGGCUCCAGAAGGGGUUGUUGAGCUUUGCUUGGGUGUAGGAGAUGUAAUGCAGCUUGGAUAUCACACGGAUCGUGAUGGACGGAUGGUCUUCCACAAAGAUUGGGGUGUUUUUGUAGCCCAGAACCACCUCCGGGCGGAUGAUGCUGUUGUUUUCAACUUCAAGCAUAGCAAUGCACAGGGCAUCAACAUUAAAUGCGUCGUCAUCGGUUUGAGGCCGGCAGAAGGAUAAGAGUUUUGGUGCUACAAACAGUGUAAUGGCACUUUCCUAGGUUAGCCCUUUUUGGCGACUUGGGCUAUCCAGCUACCUUCACUUUUUAUGUCUUUUUGUUUUUUUGAACAAUGUAAGCACUCGGAUGAAUGUUUUUAGUCUUUUUC
Triticum aestivum (bread wheat) is the source of this 1137-nucleotide long non-coding RNA. RefSeq lists it as uncharacterized. NCBI's taxonomy places the organism in Eukaryota, Viridiplantae, Streptophyta, Magnoliopsida, Poales, Poaceae. The transcript is spliced from 4 exons. The record is from RefSeq and is a predicted model, not a curated record.